GCUGACACAUCCCUGCCAAUCUCCGGCAGACCCUCCCUCCCAGACCCUCCCACCUCCUGGACAGCAUCCAUGUUGAAGCUGCCUUCAACAUGGAUGCUGUCCAGGAGAUGGGAGGGUCUGGGAGGGAGGGUCUGCCGGAGAUUGGCAGUGGUGUGUCAG
Molecule: microRNA precursor, 159 nt
Filed under: Pelobates cultripes (western spadefoot toad)
Lineage: Eukaryota; Metazoa; Chordata; Amphibia; Anura; Pelobatidae
Source: RNAcentral